Non-coding RNA from Triticum urartu, 1666 nucleotides. Lineage: Eukaryota; Viridiplantae; Streptophyta; Magnoliopsida; Poales; Poaceae. The record is from RefSeq and is a predicted model, not a curated record.
UAUGUGUCCCACCUUUCCAGUCGUGUCACGUCUGGAAAAUUACUAUCCCCUCACAUCACCCCCACCCUGUUGUCAUCUACCUCCACCCGACCUAACGCAGCUCUGUGUCCCUCUGUUCUUCUCAUCGGAAGGAGCUCGGCUCCCACAGAACCAGGUGCGGCAGCAUGUUCCUCGCCGCCCGAGUUUCCCUACCACGGCGAGCCCCCUCAUCCUCCGGUGCUGGGCGAGGACAGUCGGCGGGGAGCGAGGCUAGCCGGUGGGGAUCCGGACCACAGGAAGAGCAUUUUUAGGCGGGGACGGAUAAAAUGUCAGGGCUUUUUAGUGGAGUACAAGCUGCGAUGGUUAUCAAUCGGGUAGAAAACAGUGAGCAAUCUCCUGAAGAUUGGAAUAGCGAUGGUGAUGGUUCAGGCUGUUCAACCGGAGUAGCUGGCACACCAUGUUUCACCUCUAGGUUAUCACUGCUCAAGGCUGGUUCAGUAAUAGCACAAUUUAAUGAAUUCAAGCGGCAGUUAGUUAGGGAAACCGGUUUUGGAGGAAUGCUAGAGUUGAAGUCAUGGCAGAAGAUUAACUUGAAAUAUAGUGCUUUUUUGAUGGAUAGAGUUGAUUUAGAUUCCUGCUCCUUGAAUCUGGAGGCACAGGGUGUGUUGGAUUUGGUUGACAGGGAUAUGAACUAUGUCUUUGGCAUCCCAUGUGGCAAUCUAACCAUUAAAGGGGAAGGCGUUGAGCCAUCUGAAGCUUGUAUUAAGUACACGCGUGUAGCAGCAUCAUUUAGCGAGAAAGGCACACACACAGCCUAAAAGCCGCUGAAUCAUUCUUGCUUGCACCCAUAUUAGAAGAAUCAACAGAAACAAAGAAGGAUUGUUUCAAAAUUGCCUUCGUGAUUUUCAUCAUUGGACACGUGCUCGCGCCGACCGCCAAACAUGAUUACAUAUCAGUAGAUUUCUGGGCUGCACUCAACGAUGUCAGCAAGAUCAAAGAUUGGAAUUGGGGGGUGCUUAUGUAUGGAAGCAUCUGUUACAAGCGGUUUUUGUUCUCGACAUGUUAGAGCUGGGUGUACUAAACAAGCCCCAAGGAGUAACACCAAGAAUAGGCUUGUAUGACUAUGAGUCGAUGAAAAAGAUGCUCGAGCAAAUCACGGUUAACUUCCCCGGUGGAGAAGUCACUUUCAACGGUGGCAAGGUCACGAGCGGUACGUCUGCGGGAGGGGGGGCUCGAGGCACAUGGAAAUGAUCCGGCAAAAGAAAAAAAUCGCUAAGCCAGCUAUAGCCCCAAAAAGAGCAAGCACUCCAUGCUCACCAAUGCUACGAUCUACUUACACCAAGAAUGGCCCGCAGGAAUUUUCAAAUUAUAUACGCUCGCGGUACCCUAGCAUAUCAGCACAGAAGCUUGGCAUGAUUCUUCGGCAACAAAAUGCACAUGGCCUAGCAAACAUAUCGCAAAUGCGACAAGCGUUCCAAUCAAACAUGUUCACCUGACAAGCUAAUGGUGUACCUCGGAGAAAUGUGUACAUGCUGUAAGGCACGUGGACGGAAAAGUGUAUCCUGAAGUGUGAAGACACACAACCAUCCACGCCCCGCCUCCUGAUACGUCUCCAACGUAUCUAUAAUUUUUGAUUGCUUCAUGCUAUAUUAUCUACUGUUCUGGACUAUAUUGGGCUUAUUUUUCA